CAGUAUUCUCUCACAUUAAAUUACACAGGUUGGCUAACUUUUGCAGCUGAAGCUGCACUUGGAGCCUAAUUGGUUAGCUAUCUAGGAGCUAAGGUCAUCACACAGAAGCUAAGCUGAUUUCAUAAUACUGUGAGUACUAUCGACUACUCUCAUGCAUCACUUGCUACAGAGGGGGCUGGAAUUAAAGUUUUCACCUACUCUUUGACACGGACAAAUAUGGGGUUUGGUGGCCUGUAUGAAAAAGUUUUAUGUGUUCUGUUUCGUUCAAAUGUUAACCGUAGAUUGGACAUAAUGUUUUUGUUGAGUUUCCAAUAUAUAUCAUCCAACUCCGAAAAAAUCCCACAUAAUAACAUAGACACAUAUCCAAGUUAUCAUAUACAACAACCCUGAAUAUUCAUCUCCUUUAGCAACUGUUGUCUUGAAAGUGAAGAUAACUUCCACCAAGAUAGUUUCUGACAGCCUUCUAAGCAAAUCAGUUAUUCGAACUUGAUGAACAUAAACAGCGUGAUGUGAAGGCAUGCAACAGAGGUUGCAAGAACUAGAAGAUGCUGUGUUUAAAAUGUUACUACUCCUUAUUAAUAGGAAUAGCAUAACUGAAGAUUGGCAACAGAAUUUACUCAGAAAACCAAAUGUGCAGAGAACAUAGCAUGCUUCAAUUUGAUACUUCAACAGGAGGCUUAUCUUACAUAGGACAAUGUGAGAAAAGAAGAAUCUCAUCCCAACCAGCAGAUGCUACUUAUGCAACUCAAAUGCAGAAGAUAUGAACCAUCUUUCUUGUAUCACCCUGCAGCUAGACAUAUAAGAACUUGUUUCUAAACCACAAUCCUUAAGGGAAACCCAUAUCAGCUGGGGUCAUUGGUAACUCGAUAGAUGUCAAAAGACUAUAGCAAGCCAUUCUAAGCGGCAAUUUUAGGAUCGUCUGGAGUUAGAGAAACUUGAGAUGUUUUGUAUUGGGCAAAUUUGGUUCCUUACUCGGUGAAGAAAGCGGCUUAAUUAUGAUCGACUCGAGGAAGGCCGGCCUCAGAGAGUAGACGGGCCGAGUGACAUGACUCACUGCGACGUCGUUUCGAGCUCUGACACUCGUACACUGAGGCCACCAACCCUUGUACUUUUGUUUGAUUAUUUCGAGGAAGGUCCCUUAGUAUAUAAAGGGGUUCCCUUUGUAAAGACUCAUGUGUAUUUUACUAUUGAAAAUAUACAACUCUCUCUAUAUGACUUUCUUUCUCUCUCUUGUGCAAAAUUUAUUUCUUGUCUUAUUGUUCUCGUAUCACGAACUACUCACACUAUAAUCACAGAUCUUGAUCACUCUAGGCUCUCUAGUUCAUCUUACUAUUGAUUCCGAUUAACCCGUAUUAUUUUUUGAUUGUUUUAGAGCUACUUAAGUACUUGCAUAACUUUUUAGCCAAACAGUUUUAAGGGGGGUUUGGAUGCAAGACGCUUUUGAACCUUUUUGCAGGUGUAAUCUCGAUAAUGUAAAUGAUGUAAAUCAGAUGUUUGUUUUUUCUUAGUUCCUUAAACUUUGUAAACGAGCUGCUUCACGCUCAUCUUCAGUACACGGGUAACAAAGAACAGGUCUUUAGCAAGAAACAUGCGGCUGAAAUUCAGUAUACCUAAUCACAGGUCACAUUAAGUCAAAAGAUAAAAGCCCAAACUUAACGCAUUGAGAUUAAAGUAAAAACCCCCAAACUAUCUUCAGCUUUGUAUUCAAUCGAAAGAAAUAACCAAAAAUAAAAUCAGGAGAAUCUUA
This 1747-nucleotide long non-coding RNA is filed under the name Nicotiana benthamiana. RNAcentral describes it as "long non-coding RNA (NBEN_LNC039665)". Lineage: Eukaryota; Viridiplantae; Streptophyta; Magnoliopsida; Solanales; Solanaceae. The record is from RNAcentral.